UUCGAAUGUGUGGCAAGCUUUGGAAUUCUUCUGCUGCUGGAGCGGCAAAUCGAUUUUCGUGCGACCUAAAUCGACAAGCGACGAUAUUGUGGCAGCAACCAAAAAUCCUACAUACUUACAUACUAUAUAUGUAUAUGUACAUAUGCAUCUGUAUGUGUUGGAAAAUAUUGCAUUCAAAUUCAGUUAGACAAGUGCUGAAAUUGUAAGAUGAUAAAAAGGCGCAAGUGUUGACAACAUAAAAAAACAACAAUGUGUUAUGCUUGAUUUUUUGUAUGUACCAGUAAUACAACAGCAGUAAACAAAUGCAGACGACAGUAGAGUUGGCUUAACACAAAUUUGCUGAGAACCAAAUUUUCGGGAUUGCGUAAUUAUCUAUGCAAUUAAAGGCUGUUUGCCGCCGACAAGUAAAUCGCGAAACCAAAAUAUAAAAUAAAAUACAGGCGUUACAAACAGCGCGACGGUCAACGUGCUUUUCCUCACAUAGCAAGAAUCACGAUUUCUAAGGCAACAUCUAAUAAAACAAUAACAGCCGCUAUAAAUAAUUGCAACAGCGACAACAAUAUUCAGAAGAAUAGUUGAAAUUAAGAAAUAGUG
Molecule: long non-coding RNA, 594 nt
Organism: Bactrocera latifrons
Lineage: Eukaryota; Metazoa; Arthropoda; Insecta; Diptera; Tephritidae
Exons: 3
Source: RefSeq, a predicted model, not a curated record